Molecule: ribosomal RNA, 383 nt
Filed under: uncultured cyanobacterium
Lineage: Bacteria; Bacillati; Cyanobacteriota
Description: bacterial SSU rRNA
Rfam family: Bacterial small subunit ribosomal RNA
Source: RNAcentral
CGAAAGCCUGACGGAGCAAUGCCGCGUGGAGGAUGAAGGCCUGUGGGUUGUAAUCUCCUUUUUUCAGAGAAGAAGUUCUGACGGUAUCUGAAGAAUAAGCAUCGGCUAACUCCGUGCCAGCAGCCGCGGUAAUACGGAGGAUGCAAGCGUUAUCCGGAAUCAUUGGGCGUAAAGCGUCUGUAGGUGGCUUGGUAAGUCGACUGUUAAAUCGUAGAGCUCAACUUUAUAUCGGCAGUCGAAACUACUUCGCUUGAGUGUGGUAGGGGCAGAGGGAAUUCCCGGUGUAGCGGUGAAAUGCGUAGAUAUCGGGAAGAACACCAACGGCGAAAGCACUCUGCUGGGCCAACACUGACACUGAGAGACGAAAGCUAGGGUAGUCAAUG